Molecule: long non-coding RNA, 1771 nt
Filed under: Calidris pugnax (ruff)
Lineage: Eukaryota; Metazoa; Chordata; Aves; Charadriiformes; Scolopacidae
Description: lncRNA (ENSCPUG00000001781.1)
Source: RNAcentral
GAGGACACUGGGCUCUGGUCUGCCCCUUCCAAGCUCCCCCAGGUGGAUGUGGACAGCCAGCAUGGGGCAAGCUCCACACCAGGACCAAAGGGUGGUCCUGUGCCCAGCACAAGCAAGGCGACUCCAGGGACCCAGCCUGGCUCUGAUGCGACGCAAGCAGGGACACGCAGAGCACCAGGGAUCCCUGAGAAGGUGGCAGGCACUCCUUCAGAUGGAAGGAGGGCUUCUGAUGCCAGUGCCGUGACCCCAGAGAUGCAGCCUGGAUCGUCCAGCGCCCAACUCCCCCUCCCAGGGAUGGAGCCAGCCCUCCCUGGCAUCAAGAUAGCCACCCCAGGGGAGCAGCCAGGGUCCCGUGGCACUCAGAGCUCCAGCCCGAGGAAGCAGCCAGUAUUCCCCAGCACCCAACUCAGCCCUCCAGGGAUGGAGCCAGCCCUCCCUGGCAUCAAGAUAGCCACCCCAGGGGAGCCACCAGAGUUGCCUCGCAGCCAGACCCUCAGCCUGGAAGUGCAGCCAGGAUCCCCUGACAUGUCCCAUUUACAAGUGCCAGCCAUGCCCUGGGAGUCCUCACCCUCCGGCCGUGCCUCUGACUAUGGCGUGGUGACGGUGGAGGCUCUCCACCAUUUUGGGCAGCUGAAAGAGCAGGUGUCCGAUGUGGGAGCCACGAAGUCCGAUUACACAGAGGAUGAGGAUGCGCACCUGCUCUUCCCAGAGGGAGGUGAGAGCCUUGAGGGGACUGGUGGGGGUGUGUUUGGUGUGGGAAGACCCUGGUUCGGGGGCUCAUUGUGCUCAGAGCCUGGCCCCAAGGGGGAGAUCCCCUCCCUGACAGCAUGUCCCCUUGGACCAUGUCCCUCUAGAUGAAGAGAGCGUUGCCCUCUGGGGUCAAGAGUUCUCCCUGCAGAGCCUGGCCAGUGACCUGCAGGAAAUGAAGGAGAAGGUGAGCUGGCAGUAGUCCCCGAUGGGGCUGUGGGGAUGCCGGGGGGUUGUGUGGUAUUUGGGCAGGGAGGGGGCAGCUGAAGGGCCCCCGUGCUGGGAUGACACAGGGGACCAUGCCCUGACUCUGCCCCCAUCGCUCUUCCCAGAUCAGGCAGCUGGAGGAUGCCCUUGGAAAGCUGUGGGUGUCUGGAGCAGACAGGAAAGCAGAGAGCAGCUACCAGAUCGCCCUGCAACUGGGGUAAAAGGAUGGGAGAGGGUUUCCUACUGUGUGGGGCUGCUGGUGGGAGCCUGGAGUGCUGGGAGCAUUCUGGUUUGGGGCACGAGGGACACCCCUCAGAGCGGACCCAGGGAGGCUAAGGCUGCCUGUGCCCUCAUCUCCCUGGUCAGGUCUGUGCUGAAGGAGGUGAAGGAAGAGGUGAUGGAGCUGAAGGGCCUUGGACUGCAGGAAAUGAAGCAGGAAGUCCUGGAGCUGAAGGACCUGGAAUUAGAGAAGAUGAAGCGUGAGCUGAAGGAGCUGGGGGAGCACCAGGACAUAACGGAGGCCACGCUGAAACAGUUGAGGACAGAGGUGGCUGAGAGGACACAGGCACAGCAGGACAAGCUGAAGACUAUUGAGAGCGUGGGGCAGGAGAAGGAAGGGAUUCAGGCUGCGUGCCCUGUCUGCCCCGGGGACACUGGAGCACAGCUGGGGCAGCUUCUGCAGCGCUACGAGAAGCUGCAGGAGUUGGUGGACUCCCUAAUGUCCCAGCAGGCGGUGGGCAAGGCCGUGAGGCAGCUGCAAAAGAAGAGCCAGGUAGGGAGAUGCCUACGUGGGGGGCUUGGGAGGGAGCUGCUGUGA